CUGGCGGCGUGCCUAAUACAUGCAAGUCGAACGAACUCUGGUAUUGAUUGGUGCUUGCAUCAUGAUUUACAUUUGAGUGAGUGGCGAACUGGUGAGUAACACGUGGGAAACCUGCCCAGAAGCGGGGGAUAACACCUGGAAACAGAUGCUAAUACCGCAUAACAACUUGGACCGCAUGGUCCGAGCUUGAAAGAUGGCUUCGGCUAUCACUUUUGGAUGGUCCCGCGGCGUAUUAGCUAGAUGGUGGGGUAACGGCUCACCAUGGCAAUGAUACGUAGCCGACCUGAGAGGGUAAUCGGCCACAUUGGGACUGAGACACGGCCCAAACUCCUACGGGAGGCAGCAGUAGGGAAUCUUCCACAAUGGACGAAAGUCUGAUGGAGCAACGCCGCGUGAGUGAAGAAGGGUUUCGGCUCGUAAAACUCUGUUGUUAAAGAAGAACAUAUCUGAGAGUAACUGUUCAGGUAUUGACGGUAUUUAACCAGAAAGCCACGGCUAACUACGUGCCAGCAGCCGCGGUAAUACGUAGGUGGCAAGCGUUGUCCGGAUUUAUUGGGCGUAAAGCGAGCGCAGGCGGUUUUUUAAGUCUGAUGUGAAAGCCUUCGGCUCAACCGAAGAAGUGCAUCGGAAACUGGGAAACUUGAGUGCAGAAGAGGACAGUGGAACUCCAUGUGUAGCGGUGAAAUGCGUAGAUAUAUGGAAGAACACCAGUGGCGAAGGCGGCUGUCUGGUCUGUAACUGACGCUGAGGCUCGAAAGUAUGGGUAGCAAACAGGAUUAGAUACCCUGGUAGUCCAUACCGUAAACGAUGAAUGCUAAGUGUUGGAGGGUUUCCGCCCUUCAGUGCUGCAGCUAACGCAUUAAGCAUUCCGCCUGGGGAGUACGGCCGCAAGGCUGAAACUCAAAGGAAUUGACGGGGGCCCGCACAAGCGGUGGAGCAUGUGGUUUAAUUCGAAGCUACGCGAAGAACCUUACCAGGUCUUGACAUACUAUGCAAAUCUAAGAGAUUAGACGUUCCCUUCGGGGACAUGGAUACAGGUGGUGCAUGGUUGUCGUCAGCUCGUGUCGUGAGAUGUUGGGUUAAGUCCCGCAACGAGCGCAACCCUUAUUAUCAGUUGCCAGCAUUAAGUUGGGCACUCUGGUGAGACUGCCGGUGACAAACCGGAGGAAGGUGGGGAUGACGUCAAAUCAUCAUGCCCCUUAUGACCUGGGCUACACACGUGCUACAAUGGAUGGUACAACGAGUUGCGAACUCGCGAGAGUAAGCUAAUCUCUUAAAGCCAUUCUCAGUUCGGAUUGUAGGCUGCAACUCGCCUACAUGAAGUCGGAAUCGCUAGUAAUCGCGGAUCAGCAUGCCGCGGUGAAUACGUUCCCGGGCCUUGUACACACCGCCCGUCACACCAUGAGAGUUUGUAACACCCAAAGUCGGUGGGGUAACCUUUUAGGAACCAGCCGCCUAAGGUGGGAC
This 1467-nucleotide ribosomal RNA is filed under the name Lactobacillus sp. RNAcentral describes it as "bacterial SSU rRNA". It matches the Rfam family "Bacterial small subunit ribosomal RNA". Lineage: Bacteria; Bacillati; Bacillota; Bacilli; Lactobacillales; Lactobacillaceae. The record is from RNAcentral.